Rosa rugosa (rugosa rose) is the source of this 7413-nucleotide long non-coding RNA. RefSeq lists it as uncharacterized. The transcript is spliced from 2 exons. Lineage: Eukaryota; Viridiplantae; Streptophyta; Magnoliopsida; Rosales; Rosaceae. The record is from RefSeq and is a predicted model, not a curated record.
GGUAUUGAGUUUAUUGUUGAGAAACAAUAUAUUGUGAGGGGUAUUGAGUUUAUUGUUGAGAAACAAUAUAGUGAGAGAGAUGUUGAGUUUUAUUGUUGAGGAACAAUAAAUUGUUAUGAUCUGUGGAGAUCAAUAGGUCACGGGGUGACCAUGGCAUACUAUCAGCGACCCACGCUCUCGCGCCGGGUAGGUGGAACUGAAUAGUAUUAAAUCGUGAACCACGCUCUCGCGCCGGGUAGGUGGAAACGAUCAGUUAGAGCUCUAGUCUGUCUGCCAAUUGUUGAGUGGUGUUGUGAGGGAAAUGUUGAGGUUACUUGAGACUGUGAGUGGUCAUGUAUGAGUGAUGUUGAGGUUACUUGAGACUGUGAGGGGUCUUAUGUGAGAAGUGUUGAGGAUACUUGAGUCUUUUAAGAAUGAGUUCUUAAAAGAGAGCCUCAAGAGUAUCCUUCCUUUUAUGGUGAUUGUGUUGAGUUAUAUUAAUUGUAAAGAAAUAAAUCAACAAUUCUUUCUUGUUUACUCAUACUGGCUGUAAAAAGCUUACCGGGUUUUGUGUUGUUGCAACUCCCGGUACACUAUUCAAAUUGUGUAGCGGGUAAUCCUACAGGACAGGAGAACCAGGACGGUGAUCGUGCGGUUAGAGCAAUUGUUAGAGUUUUACAGCAAUUGUACGUUGUGAGGUGUGUUAUGCUCAUUUGAGCUUUACAAUAUUGCUUGUGAGAGUGAAUUGUAAUAAUGAACUCGAAGUUUCGAGAUUUGGAUUUUGUAAUUGUAAUUAUUCAUGUUUCGGAUUUGAAUUUAUUAUUCAAAAUUCGGGGCGUGACAGUUUGGUAUCAGAGCGUAAGGUACAUAUUUGGUGAUAAUCAAUACUUCCCGAGUGAUGGCCCGUCUGCAGCGGAUCCCCAUCAUAUACUCUUCGGUAUUGGUAUAAUCAUUGGGUAUGUCUUAGUAUGGGGUCUAGACAGCGUGUAUGUCCGUAGGACGGUAGAGUUGCCUUCUAAGUUCGUAUUAGAAUAAGUUUAGUUUCCGCGAUUGAUACGCUCAAAGCAAGCGCAUAAUUUAACCCUGAAAACAUCGUUAGUAGUAUAAGCAAAUAGGGAUCGUUCUAUUCCGGGGAUUGAGGGUACACCUGUCAUUGUCAAAAAAACAAAUAAAGAAUUAAAAUAAUAAAGUAAAAAGUAUUAUGUACAAAAAUAAAAUAAAGAAUAAAAAUAUAUACAAGUUAAUAUAAAAAAGGGGGGUUUUGAGAUUAUAGAAUUGGAAUUAAAAUUAAAUGAAAUAAAGAAAGUGUAAAAACACAUAUACAAGGGUGGAACACAAGAAACAAAGAUCAAAACUACAAUCAUAUGAAUGAAAUCCAAUUACAAUUCCUAUAAUUGAUUAUCUAUGUCAUGAGAAAUAAGUUGACCAUGUGAAACAUUCGAAGCAAAUGAUUUCCCAUAUUUUACUUUCCUUGAAUAUUUAAUCUAAGUGAAAGCACCUAAAUUAAACCUAUUGAACAUGCAAUCAUAGCCUAGAAAACUAGCUAAUCAAGAACACAUUCAAUGCAUGAAGAACAAAGAAAGGAUGUCAACCAAAGUGCACAACCUAGUAUGAAAAAGUCCAUCUAUUUGCAAUCCUCCUUAAUUGAUUUCGACUUUUGUCCAAAGCCUUUACUACUUAAAUCUAGCACCAAUUACAUGCAUAUAUCCUAAGUUGGCCAUCAAAUAACACAUACAUAUAAAAGUUUUCCAUAAUCCAAAAUCAAUUAAGCAAUCUCACAUAAGCAACAUAAAAAUCAACAUAAAGAAAUCACAAUUUUUAUUCAAACAUAGAAAUUGGGCUUAAACUUUGCCCUUAAUGUUAUUGUUAACUAGAAACAAAUUCCUACGAAAUUAAAUAAGGAAAAAGAAUGAAUUACACCGUGAGUUGGAGAUGGAGAUGGAGUGCUUGAAACGUUGAAAUCUUGAAUCUUGGAAGCAAGCCUUCAAGGUGGACGAUGGAUGAUAUGAUAUUCCCGGCUCCUUCUUCUUCUUCUUCUUCUUACUUGAAAACGCAGAAUUUUGCAACUAGAGAAUGGAGAGAAAAAUGGAAAGGAAAUGGAGAGACAAAGAAGAUGGAAUGGAUGAAGGAAUAUUUGGGAAAAUGGAAAGGAAAUGGAGAGACAAAGAAGAUGGAAUGGAUGAAGGAAUCUGUGUUUAGAGUGAGAGGAGAAGGUGUUUAUAUAGGGAAGAAAAAGAAGAGUGAAAUGAUAAAUGGAAGAAAAAUAAUGAAAGUGGUUUGUAAAAUAUGGAAAAGAUGGAGUAAUGAUGAAAUGAAAGCAAGGCAUGAAUGUGCAGAAGUAUGAAAGUGAUGAUGAUCUAUUGGAGCAGAAAAAUAUAUCCAAGGAAAAAGAGAAAAGCAUCUAGCUUUCUUCAUGUGGGUAGGAAACAUGAACAUGUGAUGUUGAGCUGUUUUUUUAGAUCAGUUUCUGCCCCUUUAUUCCUUCAAUUAUUUCUCCAACAAGCAUUCCCAAUUUCACUAUGACCUCUUCAUAAAAAAUGUUCCAUUAUGAGUGUAGAUCACCCUGGUAAAAUUUCAGAUUUUUAUUCCAUGUGGUUGGGCCGAAAAUGCUGCUGGACCUCUUACAGGUCCAGUUUUCCAGUUUUGCUUCUGUAGAAAAUUGGGCUGAUUGUUUGAAGGCCUUCCACUCAACAAAAGUUCUUGCACUCUUCAUAAGAAAUGAUCCUUGGGCUGUCUAGAAUGGAUCUGGAAAGUUUCAGCUCAUUUGAAGUUCAUUUGGUCCGGCGGCCGCUCCUUCUUCCUUGCUUGGCUUGGUUUCUCCUAGCCGGAGUAGGAAAAUGUGUAAAAUUGACAUUUUAGUACAUUUCCAUUUUUCUCCACCAUUUAUAGGUAAGUGUGGACCUAAUGCUCAUUUCACCAUCAUUUACUCCAAUGUACCUAAGAAAAUAGAAAUUGAGUUAAAAAUCGAUUCGUUAAGGAAUUAACUAAGCAAAAUGUGAGGAAUUAACUAUUAAAAUACCACAUUAAAAUGCUCCUAUCAAAUUCCCCCACACUUAGCUUUUGCUAGUCCCUUAGCAAAAUCAAAAACUAACAAACCAAAAAGACUAUGACACAAAACAAAGAAACCAACGAAAAAAAUGACUAAGUAUGGAAACAAAAACACAAAGACUCAAAGAAACCAAAAACGUAAAACACAAAGCAAAACACAAAGAAAAAAAAAACGUCACACAUAAAAGAGUAAAUUCAAAGACAAAGACCAAGAUGUUGACAUCACAAAGACCUCUAUUGCCCUUUAACAUAUUGUCUCAGAAAUCUCUUACUUUCACAACACCAAGAUUAGCACUCAACCAAGAAUCAAUGUUAAGCAUUCGAGAGUUAAUUAAAACAUAUGAUCCACACAUACACAAGUAGGACUUGGUUGUAAUAAUGGUGAUUGGGGUUUAGCUUAGCAUGCUUCAGACAAGUAUGAUUCAUAUCCUCACAAGGUAUAUCCACUUUUUCUUCUCUCAGAUCAAGGCAAUGCUUAAAAGCUUAUAAUCACUCAUUUAUAUGUGAGAGAACAUAUUUUAAGGCAGUCAAAUAGCUCACAUAUAUAAGAAACGAAAAGCACUUUGUGAAUAUAAUUUUUUUUUUUCAAAAGAUCUCAUGAAGGAUAUCAACUACUUGCACGAAUGGACCCAAGCCAUAGGUUCAACUCUUGUAACUCAUCUCCACAUCAAAGGCUGUCCCAUCUUAAGGAUCAAGAAGGUCCUCUCAAAGGUUGUAAUGGGGCUAAGGCUCAAGGUUUAAAGAAAUGAAAGGUAAGGAUUAUCAAAGUGUCCUAAAAACCUAGUAGAGCUCAUAUGAAUGUAGAGAUCUCGAAAUAUUUCACCAAGGCAUUGCAAAAACGUCACUUCUCCAUAGAGGUAAUAUAAGAGGGCCAAAUGUCUUCAUGUUGGGCCCAAUCUUCAAUAUAAACUUCCCUUGAACUCUAGUGAAAUGGACAAAGGCCAAAUUUUUCUGUAGUGGGCCUUCAAUUCAAAGCAAACUCCAAAAUCACUAAGUAUGGGGGAUGAAAGUCCAUAAACAUAUAUUUUUUUUCUUUCUUUUUCUUUUUUAGCCGUACACAAUUUUUCUCUUUUCUUUUCAUUUUUCACGGCUUCAACAUAUCUAUUUCUUUAUGGACAAGUCUAUCCCCACACUUGAACUUUCACCUCUUCUCAAUCUUCAUCCUUAGCACCAAACCCAUGUAGUAUGUCUCAAAAGAUAGCUCCACUAAGUCCUUAGAACAAAGGGUAGGGUUGUAACUAUACUAAGCUUCAUGGUUAAGGAUUUUAAGGGUGAUGAACGAAAAGGCUUAAUGUAGGCUCAAAGGGGCUUAUCUAGGGGGGUCCCACGACGGGCACAAAUGGGGACACAAGUUUAUUUGGCAAUGGUGGUAAUUCCUAGAGAACCUCUAUCCCUUCCAGAAUCAGGGCCAUGUAUUGAUAUCACGUCUCAACAAGCACAAGAGCGAAUUCUAGCAUUCUCUAGUCCAUUAAACUUAAUCUAUGGCAAGCAGUCAAUCAAGAUGAAAGAAUAAUGAGAUCAUCAAAACAUCGCCAAGAAAUUAAGAAUAUAUUUUUCAUUUCACUCCAAGAAAAAGGGACAUGGUUCAAUUAUCUCACAUGGCUUUAUGAAUCACAACUCAUCUUAACAUGCUCAUAUUCUGUACCAAGGUCAUGCAAUCCAUAUCCACUACAAGGCACACAUUUUUCAUAUAUCUCAAUUAACCAAAGAAUACCAUGUUUAAAAUCAUCUCAAUGUUGUGAUCCUCUUUUAGUCAUGAUUUCAGAGAUAUAGAAUCAUCCCAGACAGUUGAAAGGCAUCCUAAGACUCAAAACAAAAACAAAAGCAACGAAAUUUUUUAUAUUUCUGACAUUUUUCGAUUUUUUUGUUUUGUUUUCUUUUUAUGACAAAAACUAACUACAAGCAUUAAUCCUUCCCCCCACACUUAAAUCAUACAUUGUCCUCAAUGUUAAACAAGUUAGAGCAUGCAAUGAACAAUUAUCAUGUGAAUGGAAUGAUUAACUCAAGAAAACCUAAAAACAAAAACUAAAAACGCAAAUAACAAAGAUACAAUCAGAAAAUAGUAAUAGAGGAGAUAGAGUUUAAGAGAGCAAAUCUGCGUUGAUGGCUCCUCCACAGCUACGGUUGAAAUGGGUUGCCUCCCAUGCAGCGCUUAAUGUUUAAAGUCUUUCAGCCUAGACUUGUACCUCCAUUUACUCCUUUGGAGGAGCGGUAUGCGGGCGAGUGGCAGCCUUCUUGCUGGUUUCAGCCUUCGGAGGAGGGUUCUGAUGGAGUGACAUAAAUAAAAAAAAAAAAAACGGGGGAGGCAAGGUUCGAAACCUUAACCUGCUACACGAAACCUUUGUCCCCAACCACUGGAGCACAAGCUGUGCUUAAUAUAAUGUGUACAAAUUUUAUACUUAUUAUGUCAUAAACGAACAUAAUAAAAAUAAACGAGAGGCAAGGUUCGAACCUCAGACCUCUUGUACACGAACUUUACACUCAACCACUCGAGCACGGCUGCUCACGUUAUUAUCCAUACCAAUCCUUUUAUUUAAACCAACUGUUUCAACUGUUUCAACAAUUCGGCACAAAACAUCCAAGACUGUUUCAGAAACUCGGCCCAACGUAUCCAAAACUGUUACAGAAAUCCGGCCCAACUCAUCCAAAACUGUUUCAGAAACUCGGCCCAUCAGGCCUCCACCCACAGCUACAGUGAUGCCUUGAUCCGAGACAGGCCCAAGUACGGCCCACUUGUGUCACGGCUUAUCCCUUCCGUGAUUUACGACAGUCAAAUCUGCUUUCGGCUACAGCUGUCCGCCACAGCGCCUCGAGAUUCCCUCGGUCCCCUUACACGCUCUCCACGCGCCAACAACUUUUCCGGGUUUCAGGGCGACUUUAAUCCAACGCGUAGAAUGAAUCACAGGAAUCGUCCAUCCAACGGUGGAGAUCUGCUCACCUCGCUCUAUAAAUAGGUGCAUUCUGAGGGCGCAACUGUUCACUCCAAAGGAACGAAAAUCUCUCCUGAGUUCCAGCCCCUCUCUCCCAACUCUUCAGCUUUUCCUCUUCUUUCAAAACUCAAAAUAUUUCUUCUUCGAUUCAAUCCUUCUCUUCUGAUCUUCUCUCCCAUCUAAUUGAUUCAAUCCCAUCUUUCCUCUGAACUUUCAGAUCUCCAACACACCAUCAUCAUCCUUAAUCCCUUUAACAACAACUCCUUCAAACACUUGACAACUUUACUCUUCGAUCUUCACAUCCCCUCAACCCAUCACCAUGGAACCACGAACUCUGCAACUGAUGGAGCUACAAACCCAGCAACAAAUCGAGGAUGGAGGAAACAACCAAGCAGCCGGGAGUAAUGCCAACACAGAUUUCUGGCGAAGCCGUGCCAGGUGGGUUCCUACUCCAGAUCAAAUAAGGAUCCUCAAGGAUCUUUACUACGACAAGGGAGUUAAGCGCCCAACUACAGAGCAUAUUCACGAGAUCUGUCUCCAGCUGAACCAGUAUGGACAUGUUGAGGGCAAGAACAUUUAUUUUUGGUUCCAGAAUGUCAGGGCUCGAGAGAAGCAGAUGAAGAGGUGCAAUCAGGCUGCUCAAGUGCCCAUGGGAACUAGUUCUCCUGGUACUGGUGGAUCCAUUGAUCUCAAUUUUGGGUCCACUGGUUCUACUGGUGCUGGUGGAUCCAUCGACAUCAAUUUUGGGCCAGCUGGUGGAUCCAUUGACAUCAAUUUUGGGUCCACUAGUUCUACUGAUGAUGGUAGAUCCAUUAAUCUCAACUUUGGUUCCACCGAUUCUACUGGUAAUGAAGGAUUUCUUGAUUUAAAUUUUGUUUCAUAUUCUUCCUCACACUUCAACACUAAUACCAGUACAACUCUUUUGGCACAACAGGAGGACAAACAUCCCUGCAACAACGAGGAGGAGAUCACCAGGAGAUUGAAACUCUUCCAUUGUUCCCCAUGCAUGGUGAGGACAUCUUGGGCAUCAUGAAGACUACUUCCGAGGGAGGUAGCGGUUAUGGCGGUGGCUCUCACAUUUCCCUUGAGCUCAGCCUCAACUCCUACAGAGAUGCAGACAUGGCUUAGUAUAGAGUAUUAUUAUUAUUAUUAUUAUUAUUAUUAUUUUUUUUUUUUUUUUUUGUAAAUAGCUGAAAUUAAUAAGACUGAAUGAAUGCAUUUUUUUUUUUUUUUUUUAAAUUUUUUUUUUUUUAUUAUUAUUUUUUUUUUUUUUUGUAAAAAGCUGAAUUUAAUAAGACUGAAUGAAUGCAUUUUAUUUUAUUUUUAUUUUUAUUUUUAUUUUAUUUUUAUUUUAUUUUUAUUAUUAUUAAAAAAUAUAGGACUCAAAAAUAUUUAUAGGACACAAAAUGAAAGACAAAAAUAUUUAUAGGAUUCAAAAUGAAAGACAAAAAUAUAA